UCUCCGUUGGUGAACCAGCGGAGGGAUCAUUGCCGGUCGCCAGACCCCGUAAACCACCGCGAACCUACCCCUUCGUAUCGCCUCGGCGGGCGGCUCCAGGGCGGAGCCACCCGGGACCCGCCGGCGGCACCCGGACCCCAGACCAUGCAGACCCACCGCGACCCUCCGAGUUGGCGUAACCCCCGCGCGCGGGGGGGAAACCAGUCAAAACUUUCAACAACGGAUCUCUUGGCUCUG
Molecule: unclassified non-coding RNA, 237 nt
Filed under: plant metagenome
Description: partial contains small subunit ribosomal RNA, internal transcribed spacer 1, and 5.8S ribosomal RNA
Source: RNAcentral